AGGCAGUCUGUUCUGAAUUAGUGGUUCCACAGCAGCAGACAAGUGGUGAGUCCCUGAAGAUGCCUUUGUUCCAACACCAAAAGAAUCAUAUAAGGACCCCAAAAGGCUGGAAUGAUUUCCUGAGCAACAACUCCAGUAUAGAUGCCAAGAAAGAAUACAAGAAUAUUCUCAUUGUAUAACACAGCAAGAAAAUGGUAGGAAAAGCUAUGAAAUAUUGCAUGCAUCCUCAUAAUCUUCCCAGAGGCCAGGAUAUAAAUGCA
Long non-coding RNA from Dromaius novaehollandiae (emu), 260 nucleotides. RefSeq lists it as uncharacterized. The record is from RefSeq and is a predicted model, not a curated record. NCBI's taxonomy places the organism in Eukaryota, Metazoa, Chordata, Aves, Casuariiformes, Dromaiidae. The transcript is spliced from 3 exons.